This 376-nucleotide ribosomal RNA is filed under the name uncultured bacterium. RNAcentral's name for it is "bacterial SSU rRNA". It matches the Rfam family "Bacterial small subunit ribosomal RNA", at positions 29 to 399 of the family's 1533-position model. The record is from RNAcentral.
AAUGAACGCUGGCGGCGCGCCUAAUACAUGCAAGUCGAGCGAGAAGACGUAGCAAUACGUUUGUAAAGCGGCGAACGGGUGAGGAAUACAUGGGUAACCUACCCUCGAGUGGGGAAUAACUAGCCGAAAGGUUAGCUAAUACCGCGUACGCUUCUUGGACUUCGGUUCAGGGAGGAAAGCGAUGCCGAGGGUAUCGCGCUCUUGGAUGGGCUCAUGUCCUAUCAGCUUGUGGUGAGGUAACGGCUCACCAAGGCUUCGACGGGUAGCUGGUCUGAGAGGACGAUCAGCCACACUGGCACUGCGACACGGGCCAGACUCCUACGGAGGCAGCAGUAGAAUAUUGCGCAAUGGGCGAAAGCCUGACGCAGCGACGCCG